GCUAUGAUGCCGAAGCCAGCCUGUGUUUACUCCGUUGACACAGGCGGUGUACGUCAUAACGUGCGUGAAUCAUUAUCAGAAGUCU
Non-coding RNA from Microbacterium sp., 85 nucleotides. The record is from Rfam. NCBI's taxonomy places the organism in Bacteria, Bacillati, Actinomycetota, Actinomycetes, Micrococcales, Microbacteriaceae.